UACGGAGGGUGCAAACGUUGCUCGGAAUCAUUGGGCGUAAAGCGCACGUAGACGGCUCGUUAAGUCGGGUGUGAAAGCCCUGGGCUCAACCCAGGAAGUGCAUUCGAAACUGGCGAGCUUGAAUAUGGAAGAGGGUCGCGGAAUUCCCGGUGUAGAGGUGAAAUUCGUAGAUAUCGGGAGGAACACCAGUGGCGAAGGCGGCGACCUGGGCCAAUAUUGACGCUGAGGUGCGAAAGCGUGGGGAGCAAACGGG
RNAcentral lists this ribosomal RNA (253 nucleotides) under uncultured bacterium. RNAcentral describes it as "partial 16S ribosomal RNA". It matches the Rfam family "Bacterial small subunit ribosomal RNA", at positions 524 to 776 of the family's 1533-position model. The record is from RNAcentral.